RNAcentral lists this ribosomal RNA (274 nucleotides) under uncultured bacterium. RNAcentral describes it as "partial 16S ribosomal RNA". It matches the Rfam family "Bacterial small subunit ribosomal RNA", at positions 523 to 796 of the family's 1533-position model. The record is from RNAcentral.
AUACGGAGGGUGCGAGCGUUAAUCGGAAUUACUGGGCGUAAAGCGUUCGUAGGCGGUUUGUUAAGCAAGAUGUGAAAGCCCUGGGCUCAACCUGGGAACUGCAUUUUGAACUGGCAAACUAGAAUACUGUAGAGGGUGGUGGAAUUUCCAGUGUAGCGGUGAAAUGCGUAGAGAUUGGAAGGAACAUCAGUGGCGAAGGCGGCCACCUGGACAGAUAUUGACGCUGAGGAACGAAAGCGUGGGGAGCGAACAGGAUUAGAUACCCCAGUAGUCC